UAAAUGUGAAAUUUGUGUGUUUAAUAAUUCGCAAUAUUUAAGCUUAAGCGCAUUAGUAAAAUAUUUCAUUAUUGAAAAUCUAAAUGAGAAAACGCAGACAAUUUGUGAAUGUUGAAAAUCGAAGAAAAGUUACCAAGUAUUUCAUAGAAAGAGGUGCGAACUAGCUGGAAUGCAAAGUGCAGCAGAGGCAACGUUCGGCAGUGGGUCCCAAACCCCCACCUCAAAUUAUACGAGUAGAGAUUACUUGGUCGGUCGGUUAAUGUGUUGCGAAAAAGUCGAAUAAUUGCGAGAGGAGUGGCGGCUACUGCGUAUGGAUGAGCUAGUUACGCGCAAAACGCAUACAAUUGAAGGACAGAAUGUUGGCUGCCAUUCUCAAAAGAAAAGUUGAAAGAAUAAGUGGUUUUAAGAAUUAUAUCUAAAAAAAAGUGUAGUUGACGGUUGAAAGUGAUUUGUCGCUGUGUCAAUGGAUAUAAUUGGAAUAUGAAGUAAAAAUUACAUGUUCUUGAAAUUAAUAAUGAAAACCUCAAUAUCCUAUUAAUUACUUCAAAAUGUGUUUUCUUAUACAUAUAUAUUUAAAAACAACAAAUAGACUGAGGCAGGCAGCAAUAAUAACCGAGUAAUCACGACGCAAAAUAAUCAAUACACUAAAAGCAUUAUGAGCGUAAAGGAAGUUGUAAAAAAAAUUAUUUUGAUAUAAAAUGAAAUUUGAAAAAGAAUUGUAUUUUUGGUUUGUAAAGGAAAGAGAAAAAAUAAACGAGAAAGUGGUGGACAACAUAAUACAGAAAGUAGAAGUGAAAUAAUUAGGAUACGAUCAAAAUUGCGGAGUGUAAAUCGAAAGGUGACUAUAACGAUACGUAGGAAACAAAGCAAUUCGAAUCACAAGUAAAAGAGAAAAACGAAAAAAUAACAAACAGAAAAGGCACCGGAAAAGAGGCAUAUGAAAGUUUAAACACAGUGAAGUGAAAAGAAGAAAUAUGAUAAAACAAAAUUGUGAAGAAAAGCUGUUAUGUGCAAUAAAGGUGCUGGCUCAGUAAACGAAGCAAAACGGUAGUAGUAGAUAGACUGAAUUUAUUUUUAUGUGUUUGUAUUACAUUGUGUGUGUGAGAAAUUAAAGAAAGAAGCAAAGUAAAUAAAAGCAAAUGUGCAAGAAAGCAGAAAAGUUGAUUAAAUCGAGCAAAUUCAACUCUAAACGACGAAAGUAACUAAAAACAUAUAAAUAUUAAUGCCGACAAAUACAAUAUACAAGAUCAAAGAUAUUAUUACAGAGUUUGAAAAGAAAACCAAAGUGUGCUUAGUGCUUGUGAACAUCAAUUCAUAUUCAAUGCGCCUUCGUGCAUAUUUUUGAUGCUUCCUGACGAGAGAUAUAUAAUAAACACGAAGCAAAAUAAAAACAAAAAUUUUAAACGUACAAUAGUUAGUUUGCGCUAAAAUUUGUUUCACACUUACACUACCAGUUCGCCAAUUUCGGGCGGGUUUGUCAGAAAGACAAGCUGCCUCUAAUUGACUGCCCAACAGUCUCAUAGGCCAGGCGGUCGACUCAACAAAUCGAAGAAGAGAUUGAGGGAUCAAUUCAAAUUGUUGACCAAGUAAGGUCGAUCAAUUUGAAAUUUAAAAUAUCUACUAGUAACAACAACAACGAUUACGAAAUCUGAGUAGCUGUAAUAACAAAUAGUAAAAACAAAAAAAAUAUUCAAAAUGUCUUCUUUGGACGUGCGCAACAACUCGGCGGUGAUGAAGCGAGCGGAGCAACUUAAGCGUUGGGAAGAAUCGGACACAAAUCGUCAACCUCCAACACCACGUCCCGAGCGUGGACGCAAAAUAAAAUUCUCUUCAGGCUGUGUCUUUCUUGCAGCCUGUAUGUCUGGCGAUAAGGAGGAAGUGCUAAAGCUAUUGGAAAGUGGUGCUGACAUAAAUACAGCCAAUGUUGAUGGAUUAACUGCCCUACAUCAGGUGAGAUACUUAGAAAAUCUUCAUUAUAAAAAUAAGAAAACAAGUGUGGAUUUAACCAAUAAUAUAUUUUUAAAAGAACUAGAGAAAGAUAGAUUUGUUAAAAGAGUUCAUGCAUUAUCUUUUCCAGACUUAACCCACUUUUUCUUUAAAUGUUUAAUAUUUUGUUUGCAAAUUAUUUGCAUUGUGUUAUACAAAUUCUAUAGCUACCAAGAGGAUCUGUCACAAUCAUAAAUAGUAUCCUAUUUGUAUAAUAAAGAACGAGAGUAUUUAUUAAGACACGUGAAUGUGCCUAUUACGUCAAUACUUUCAAGUUUAUUUCGAAAAUUUACGCUGCCAAACAAUAUAAUCCACCUUUAUCUGAAGAUUUUCCUCUCUCUUUCCUUUCGUGUAGCCAUACAGGCCAUAAUUAUCGCCGAACAACCGUUUCGUCCGACCAUAGGCUUUGGCGGCGUCAGCAAGCGCACAACCAAAUGCGUUUGUACGCCACAGCCCUCAGCCACGGCAGAAAAUUAACAAAUUCGUUUCUAAUGCAAACAGACGAUUUACAAACCCACCAAAAAAUAAAAUCUAUUUAUAACUAUGAAAUUAUUUUGCUGGUGUGUUUCUUCAUAUGGCGUAUAUAAUUGUGCAUGUAUCUACAUCUGUGUAUGUACAAAUACAUAUAUAUUUUUUGCAAAUCAUUUACGUUUGCUCUAGUGAAUUGCAUACACGUUUGUAUGUAUGCAUAUGGCUUUUCUUUGAUUUUGUGCGUACUUUUAUAUGUUCUUUUCCACAAUAUGAUGCGAAUUCUGUUGCGUAGACAAUAUAGCAGACACGAGCCUAUUAUUGAUUCUUAGUUUUAAAUUUUAAUUAGUGGCAUAACCUAAAGAAAAGGAAAAACUAGAAGCAUUGCCAUAAUAUCCUCCAAACUUCUUUCGUCGUUACAAUUGUUGGAAAAUACUUGAUGUUGUUGUGAUGUAUUGGUUAAUCUUUACAUUUUUGUAAAUAAAAUCAUAAUUUUUGAAGAAGUAUAAAAAAUACCCAAUAAAUUACUCAAACUUUUGAAAAAUUAUGAUUUUCUAAUAAGUAGUAUCAAAAAACCAAAAAAAUAUUUGGAACAAAAAGUGCAUAUCUACCUAAAUGAAAAUACAUCUAUACGCAUUAAAGCCGAACUUUUAAAACAGUUCUUUUGACUUUAAUAGUUUUUUUUUUACAUCUGUAUCGCCUCUAUAUGAAAUAUUAGAUUAUGACACUUCCCUUUCAAUUAUUUUAAGCAACAGCUCUUUGGUAUGGAAUCAUUUUAUUGCGUUGCCAAAGAUUACAAACAAAAUGUCAUAUAUACCAACAUACAUAAGUAUUUACAACAAAAGCCUUGAUACUCGGUCGUUGAGCACCUCAGAGAUCUAAGUGACAAUAACCUUUGUUUUCAAUGACAUGGCCACUGUUAUUCUCUGCUGUCUAGAAUUUAAUUUAAUAAAGAAAUAAAAAUCUGUAUUUCACGCCAGAGCGAGGAUAACUAAGUAAAUCACAGUUAUGCCAUUGGCUUUGCUAGAAUGAAAACAACAAGACAUCCAGUGUUUUUUCAAUUUAAGUGGGUGGGUGGCGGCAGCCUUCGCGCCAAUGUGAGAGCAGCAGGCUUUUACAGAAUGUGUUCACAAAGUGAUAUACAUAUGUAUAUGUACAUACAUAUAUAUUUAUAAUGUAUACAAACAUGCAAGAAUGCAUUUUUUUAAAUUUAGGCAAAAUCACUGACACUUAUCUUAUUCUGAACUUAUCACACAUUUCCUUUUUCUUCUAAAUUAAUUCUCUUUAAUUUGAAUGAUAAAACCAUUUUACAGUAUUAUUUUAACAUUUUCAGGAUUGUAGUUUUGUCUAAAUUGUUCUGUUCCACAAAUAAAUUGCCUAUAAAAAAAUAAAUGGCAACAUCAAACGUUUGUUGACGCGCUUUAUAGCCUUGGCCUCGUUCUAGGCGAUUUUCUAUCACAAAUCAAACAUUUCACAGGAGGCAAACGCUGCAGCCAACGGCAACGCAACAACAAUGCUCUUGGCGAACGCAAUUACAGCUACAAAACAAAUUAUAAAAAUAACGAAAUUUCAUACAAAUUUAAUUUGAUUUGAUUUUGUGUUUGUUAUUUUUUUUUUGUUUUACUUAUUGUGUAAUUGGUGAUUUGGUAAUUUCGAUGCACAUUAGUUGCUUUGGUUGUUGUUUUUAAAUAUAUACAUUUCUCUAUUGCCAAA
Long non-coding RNA from Bactrocera dorsalis (oriental fruit fly), 4167 nucleotides. RefSeq lists it as uncharacterized. The transcript has 2 exons. NCBI's taxonomy places the organism in Eukaryota, Metazoa, Arthropoda, Insecta, Diptera, Tephritidae. The record is from RefSeq and is a predicted model, not a curated record.